UGAGGAAUAUUGGUCAAUGGGCGCAAGCCUGAACCAGCCAAGUCGCGUGAGGGAAGACGGCCCUACGGGUUGUAAACCUCUUUUGCCGGGGAGCAAGCCUGAGCACGUGUGCCCAGGCGGAGAGUACCCGGAGAAAAAGCAUCGGCUAACUCCGUGCC
Molecule: ribosomal RNA, 158 nt
Filed under: uncultured bacterium
Lineage: Bacteria
Description: partial 16S ribosomal RNA
Rfam family: Bacterial small subunit ribosomal RNA
Source: RNAcentral